GCCCAGACUCCUACGGGAGGCAGCAGUGGGGGAUAUUGCACAAUGGGGGAAACCCUGAUGCAGCGACGCCGCGUGAGUGAAGAAGUAUUUCGGUAUGUAAAGCUCUAUCAGCAGGGACGAAAAUGACGGUACCUGACUAAGAAGCCCCGGCUAACUACGUGCCAGCAGCCGCGGUAAUACGUAGGGGGCAAGCGUUAUCCGGAUUUACUGGGUGUAAAGGGAGCGUAGGCGGCCAUGCAAGUCAGAAGUGAAAACCCGGGGCUCAACCCUGGGAGUGCUUUUGAAACUGUGCGGCUAGAGUGUCGGAGGGGUAAGUGGAAUUCCUAGUGUAGCGGUGAAAUGCGUAGAUAUUAGGAGGAACACCAGUGGCGAAGGCGGCUUACUGGACGAUGACUGACGCUGAGGCUCGAAAGCGUGGGGAGCAAACAGGAUUAGAUACCCGCGUA
Molecule: ribosomal RNA, 446 nt
Filed under: uncultured bacterium
Lineage: Bacteria
Description: bacterial SSU rRNA
Rfam family: Bacterial small subunit ribosomal RNA
Source: RNAcentral